GGAGAGAUGGGGUGCACAGCCAAGGAAAGCCAGGAACAGGUUCCGGCUUCCAUCACUCAGAUACUCAGGAAUCCCUGGGUACCCCACACUGAUUCACACUGCGCUGAGCUGUCCAUGGCACAGAACCAUUUGUCCACUGAUGCUUCCUCCCUCCAGGGACACUGUCCAUCUUCAACAAGGGAGGAUCCCAGAUACUCACCAUGGGCAUUCAUUUUAUAAAAGUCCCAACUGUGGCUCAGGGGUCGGUCCUUGCACCUUAUUAGGAUUUACCUAUGACUUUAUCUGCACUCACAUAAGCACUAGGGGGACAGGAAGCUGUUACUGCAGUCCCGGGGGCCUCUCUCCCGAUGCCUCCAUUUAAAGACUUUGUUCUGUUUGUUCACAGUGUAGAUCUACCGACUUUUUUGUGUGUCUAUUUUAACUCACAAAUUCCACGGCCUCCUCCUUGAAGACAAGAACAGCAUCUUCUUUGCAUCUUGCCCCAUCCUUGCACUUAUUGCUCAGGAAUAGUUGAUUAUCCAGUUCCAUAAUUAAUCUGUCUUUCCUUGAGCACCUACAAUAUGAGUUCUAGGUUCUACAGGGAAUACAAAAAUGAGUAGACAUGAAUGGAGAGCAGGGCAAAAGAGUGGAGAAAGUCAGAGUAGUAGCUUAUUUCAUAAAGUUUGGUAGGAAACAGGAGAGAGACUGGGUUGAGAGGAUUGUAGAAGUGCAUGGGGAGGGAGGUUGUGGUUGAAGAUAAACGGAGGUGACUAGCGGGUGGAUAAUUGAUGGAGCGAAGGGUGGAAGAGCCUAGAGGGAAGGAAUGGGCCAGGCACCGUGCUGACCACAGGCAGAUUGAUUCCUGAAAAAAAGAGUCACCUCUUCAGCAAGACUAAAGGAAGAGGGAGGGAAGUGAAGGUGGGGAGGGAAGGGAGAAUGGAAGGAGAUGUAGCUAAAUUUGGACACAGAGGUGAAAGAGAAAAUGGCUCACCCUAAUGUCCUCAGGUUUUCACUGUUGAAUGAAGGAAGGGACGUAAGCCCCGACAUUAAAGCGCCAAAGUUGACAAGGAUCCAUUGCUGGGAUGAUUGGGGGUGGCAUAUGCGACUCAGAGAGGGCCAUGUGGCCUGUUUGGGGGAGGUCAAGGGAAAACGAGGGGAAAGGAGAGCAAAGUUGGGGAAAUAGGAAUUAUCUCUAGGGCCAUCUUUUCUUCCCUCUCCCACUCACACCCCAUGUAUCAGGAUCCUGAGGCCCAUCUGGCCUUCCCCAAGUUCUGAAGUUCUCUCUCCUUCCCUCGUGGUGUACUUCUCUGGCUAAGUAACUACUUGCUGUUACUGGUUCAGUAGGUGCUCCUGGCUUUGUGUGCUCUCCUCUCUCAGGUACCAGUGUGAUAUUCUUAGAAGAUGGGAGAGGCACAGUUAGAUUUUGGUUCACAUAGUCUGUGAUACUUUGUUAUGGCAGCCCCAACAAACUAAUAAAUUCAUCUUACAGCUAUAUUUUAAAAGUAUGAGUUAUUAGCCGGGUGUGGUGGCAUAUGCCUGUAAUCCCAGCUACUCAGGAGGCUGAGGCACAAGAAUUUCUUGAACCUGGGAGGCAAAGGUUACAGUGAGCCAAGAUCACGCCACUGAACUCCAACCUGGGCAACAGAGAGAGACUCUGUCUCAAAUAAAUAAAUAAAAUUUAAAAAUUAAAAGUAUGAAAUAUAUUUCAUCAGCAUUUUAAGGAUUAUUUGAUAUGUCAAAAACUGAGUUAUAGAGUAGUUUAGACUGUAUAAAUAAACUAAUCAUAAAUAUAUUCAAGAAGAAGGUAUUUGCUUAACAAAAGACUUAACAUUAAACAUUUGUUCAAAUUCAUCUACUCUUUUCAAGAAAAAUAUUUCUUAAAACAAGGUUUUGUUAACUAUGGCAGAGUAGUCAUUAAUUUCCAGCAAACCUGGCUGCUUCCCCUAUUAGCACAUGGGAUUAAAUUAUCUCCUGUGAAGGGACUGGUGUUUUGGGACAUGGGACAUUGUCUUAACCCAGGCAGCUAUAACACAUAUACUGCAGACUGGUGGCUUAGACCAGGGGUCCCCAGUCCUUGGGCCGUGGACUGCUACUGGUCCAUGGCCUGUUAGGACCUGAGGUGCAGAGCAGGAGAUGAGCAGCACUCCAGUGAGCCCCACAUCCUGCCAGAUAAGCAGCGGCGUCAGAUUCUCACAGGAGCGCAAACCCUGCUGUGAACUGUCAUGUGAGGGAUGGAGCUUGUGUGCUCCUUAUGAGACUUUAAUGCCUCCCACCACUGGUCCGUGGACAAAUUGUCUUCCACAAAAUGAGUCCCUGGUGUCAAAAAGGUUGGGGACUGCUGGCUUAGACAAUAGAAAUUUUGUUGUUUAAUUUUUUCACAGUUCUCGAGGCUGGACAGUCCAAGAUCAAGGUGCCUGCAUCUGGCGUCUAGUGUGGACCCUAUUCCUGGUUUGCAGCAUUGUUGGUGCUCUGAGGGUGUCAGCCAGGCCACUCAUGCAGACCAUUGCGGCAGCACUGAAAAUGGAAGAAAGAUGGGAUUCUGCUGUCUUUUGUUUUGGCUGAUGAACAGCACCGAGAUGGAGUGGCUCCUUGUAUGACCUCUGAAAAUAUGACCUGAAGCAGAUGGAUGCACUCACAUAAGAAACAUCACCUGUGGCCUUCAUCGAAAAUGGGCCUGCUGCUUGAAGAAGUUGGGCUCUUGGAGUUCUCUAGCACAGGGGCCAUGAAAAUCAAUGACUUCCUUGUUUGCUGACGGAGCAGAGGUAGAAUCUCUUGGUGUUUCCACGGAGAAAACACUGACCAUGAAGAGCCAAGAAAGAUGACAUGAUGAAGCCAUCAGGGGAAGCACCAAACAUCCUCAACUCUGCUCACCCAUGGUUUUCUCCCGCCCUCCCAGAGCUCCUCCUGCUGAUGGGCCCCCGACAUGAAACUGGCACUCAGAAUGAAGAAUGCCUUUUCCAGCCUCCCUCGCUGGUGGAGUCUCCGUGUUCCAGCCAAUGAAGUAGGGCAUGCAGUUGCCUGCCCCACUGAAGUCAACUUCAGCCUGAAGAUUGGGAGACUUCCGAAAGUGGAAAACUUGGAAGGAGGAAGCCUGGACAGCCUGCAGUUGAGGGGACCUGCACAAGCUCACAGGACUCUUCAUCACCAUGACACCACGCUCACCGCAAAAUAAAAAUGAUCAAACCUGU
Molecule: long non-coding RNA, 3167 nt
Organism: Homo sapiens (human)
Lineage: Eukaryota; Metazoa; Chordata; Mammalia; Primates; Hominidae
Product: long intergenic non-protein coding RNA 1588
Source: Ensembl